ACGGAAGGCAGCAGUGGGGAAUAUUGCACAAUGGGGGAAACCCUGAUGCAGCAACGCCGCGUGAGUGAAGAAGUAUUUCGGUAUGUAAAGCUCUAUCAGCAGGAAAGAAAAUGACGGUACCUGACUAAGAAGCCCCGGCUAACUAUGUGCCAGCAGCCGCGGUAAUACGUAGGGGGCAAGCGUUAUCCGGAUUUACUGGGUGUAAAGGGAGCGUAGACGGCUUUGCAAGUCUGAAGUGAAAGCCCGGGGCUCAACCCCGGAGCUGCUUUGGAAACUGUAGAGCUAGAGUGCAGGAGAGGUAAGUGGAAUUCCUAGUGUAGCGGUGAAAUGCGUAGAUAUUAGGAGGAACACCAGUGGCGAAGGCGGCUUACGGGACUGUAACUGACGUUGAGGCUCGAAGGCGUGGGGAGCAAACAGGAUUAGAUACCCUGGUA
This 434-nucleotide ribosomal RNA is filed under the name uncultured Clostridiales Family XIV bacterium. RNAcentral describes it as "bacterial SSU rRNA". It matches the Rfam family "Bacterial small subunit ribosomal RNA", at positions 341 to 792 of the family's 1533-position model. Lineage: Bacteria; Bacillati; Bacillota; Clostridia; Eubacteriales; Clostridiales Family XIV. Incertae Sedis. The record is from RNAcentral.